This 241-nucleotide long non-coding RNA is filed under the name Lathyrus oleraceus (garden pea). RNAcentral's name for it is "Pisum sativum (pea) long non-coding RNA (PSAT_LNC037993)". The record is from RNAcentral. Lineage: Eukaryota; Viridiplantae; Streptophyta; Magnoliopsida; Fabales; Fabaceae.
AAUCCCACAGUUAGAUUACAUAUUUUAUUUAGCCUACUUUAUUAUAUAAAGAAUGUGUCUAUGUCAUUCCAAAUCACAUAAAAAAAAUAUUUUUGAAUUUUUUCUUUUUCAUUCAUUUUACUCUAUGUUUUUUAAUUGUCGAAGUGUCAACAUUUUUUUUUAUUUGCUUGAUCUUUAAAGUAUUUCUUGAGUUCUCUUUGAAGAAUUAAUUAUUUAAAUUUUUUCUAGUUUGAGAAAUCAC